RNAcentral lists this ribosomal RNA (460 nucleotides) under uncultured bacterium. Its description in RNAcentral is "partial 16S ribosomal RNA". It matches the Rfam family "Bacterial small subunit ribosomal RNA", at positions 338 to 795 of the family's 1533-position model. The record is from RNAcentral.
CCUACGGGAGGCUGCAGUGAGGAAUAUUGGUCAAUGGACGAGAGCCUGAACCAGCCAAGUAGCGUGAAGGAUGACUGCCCUAUGGGUUGUAAACUUCUUUUAUAUGGGAAUAAAAUGUUCCACGUGUGGGAUUUUGUAUGUACCAUAUGAAUAAGGAACGGCUAACUCCGUGCCAGCAGCCGCGGUAAUACGGAGGAUCCGAGCGUUAUCCGGAUUUAUUGGGUUUAAAGGGAGCGUAGGUGGAUUGUUAAGUCAGUUGUGAAAGUUUGCGGCUCAACCGUAAAAUUGCAGUUGAAACUGGCAGUCUUGAGUACAGUAGAGGUGGGCGGAAUUCGUGGUGUAGCGGUGAAAUGCUUAGAUAUCACGAAGAACUCCGAUUGCGAAGGCAGCUCACUGGACUGCAACUGACACUGAGGCUCGAAAGUGUGGGUAUCAAACAGGAUUAGAUACCCCUGUAGUC